RNAcentral lists this ribosomal RNA (308 nucleotides) under uncultured eukaryote. Its description in RNAcentral is "partial 18S ribosomal RNA". It matches the Rfam family "Eukaryotic small subunit ribosomal RNA", at positions 1470 to 1796 of the family's 1831-position model. The record is from RNAcentral.
CCCUUAGAUGUUCGGGGCCGCACGCGCGCUACACUGACGAAGGCAACGAGCUUUCCUUUACCGAAAGGUACGGGUAAUCUUUUGAAACUUCGUCGUGCUGGGGAUAGAUCCUUGCAAUUUUUGAUCUUAAACGAGGAAUUCCUAGUAAGCGCAAGUCAUCAACUUGCGUUGAUUACGUCCCUGCCCUUUGUACACACCGCCCGUCGCUACUACCGAUUGAAUGGUUUAGUGAGGCCUUCGGAUCCGCGACUCGUUUUGUGGAGAAGUUGGACAAACUCAGUCAUUUAGAGGAAGUAAAAGUCGUAACA